AGAUUGAACGCUGGCGGAAUGCUUUACACAUGCAAGUCGAACGGCAGCACGGGGGGCAACCCUGGUGGCGAGUGGCGAACGGGUGAGUAAUACAUCGGAACGUGCCCAGUCGUGGGGGAUAACGUAGCGAAAGCUACGCUAAUACCGCAUACGAACUCUGGUUGAAAGCGGGGGACUCGCAAGGGCCUCGCGCGAUUGGAGCGGCCGAUGGCAGAUUAGGUAGUUGGUGGGGUAAAGGCCUACCAAGCCGACGAUCUGUAGCUGGUCUGAGAGGACGACCAGCCACACUGGGACUGAGACACGGCCCAGACUCCUACGGGAGGCAGCAGU
Molecule: ribosomal RNA, 330 nt
Filed under: uncultured soil bacterium
Lineage: Bacteria
Description: bacterial SSU rRNA
Rfam family: Bacterial small subunit ribosomal RNA
Source: RNAcentral